UUUUUUUUAAGUAGGCUCCGUGCCCAACCAGGGGCUCAAACUCACGACCCUGAGAGCUGCUCACUCCACUGACUGAGCCAGCCAGGCGCCCCUGGAGACAAUGAGAUUUGAGACCCGUGUCCUGAGGCCACAGAACAUAACCGUUCCACCCACCACCACCCCCCCCAAAUGCGGACUUGACCUGGAUUCAGGGAGGAGCAGAGCAUUUUUAAACACAGCUUUCCUUCCUAAAAGCAUCUUAAGAUCCAAUGCUUGAUUCCCUCUCUGGUUCCCACCUCCUGCAAAGAAGGUACCCUCUGGAUCUGUGCUGUCCACAUGUGGCUGGUGAGCCGUGGCGAUGCGGCUAGCCUGAACUGAGAUGGUCUGCGAGGGCGAAGCGCACACUGGAUUCCAAAGACUUGUGUGGCUGUGAGGAGAUUCAGAAUUGCCUGUGUGGAACUUCGGGGGUGGCUCCCAGCAUAUUUCUACGGUGCUGCCCCAGGAGGUCCUGCCGUUGAGGUCCUGCUGAGACAGGGGAGCCAGAGCCAAGGAGGAAUGGGUGACUUUGCUGGGCAAAUGUCCCUUGCUUCUCAGACGUGUUUUCCCAGGAAGACUGCAUCGGUAAGGUGGGGAGCUCUGCUCAGGACUCAGAACAUCAACCCCACCGCAUUCAAAUAUAAAGCCAGUGGUACAAAGCCGAGCCAUGAUCUUUGGAACCGGAUCGUUCCAGUCUCCGCAACACCAUCCACUAGCUGUGCAACCUGGGACUAGUUACCAGCCCUGAGCUUCCGUGUCCUCGUUUAUAAAAUGGGAAAAUAGCAGAGAGCCUCCUGGAAGGUCUUUAAGAGGGUUAAAUGAGGCAAAAACGAGUAUAGCGCCUACUAGCGUGCCUGGCCUGUCAAACCUCGGUAAGUUUCGAUAACAAACGUGAGUCUUUAAGCUGUAAAAAGGUGCCCUACAGACCGAGGCUUUGGUCUUGGGUUAGCAGCGUUUGGGAUCUGCACCUCACGGGUAUCCUAGUUGGCUUCUCCUCGCUCACCUGGUCCAUGGGUAGAAAUGGGCAGGUUGGCGGUUGGCUCGCGUGGACACAGUGGCCUCAGCCGUGGUUGGGCCCCGAGUCUUGUCAGCCAGGCUCUGCUCAAUGGCCAUCUGGACCAGCUCGUCCUCGCUCAGGCUGCUAUACAGGCUGUAUUCCUCAUUCCCAAUGGUACGCUGUCCGCCCCGAGCGCUGAUCUCCAUGGUCAUUGUCUUCUGCCUCUCACCCCGGCCUCCAGAAGAGGCACUCCGAGGAGAGGAGAAAGCAGUAAGUCAGAAAGCCCUGUGACGAGACCGAAACCAUCCUGGUCACUAACAGUUUGGCAAGAGAGUCGUGUUGACCAGCAGGGAAGGCUGUGCUUUCCUCUGGCAAGCUCACGAUCAUUGUUUAUCUAUUCAUUUUGUCACAUGAUCCACUCAAACAUCCAUUCAGCUCCCCAUCUCUCCAUCCACUCGUCUGCUCAUCAACACACCCACCUGUCUAGUCAUCCAUCCGAUCGUUCGCCCAUCUGCCCGUUGACUCAUUCUCCCGUGCAGCCAUCUGUCCACCCACCUACUCAUUUACCCAUCUACAUCUGUCCAUUUAUCCAACCGCCUAAUCAUCCAUCCAACCGAUCGUGACCCGUCCCCUGAUCUGUCUGUCCACCUACCUGUCCAUGUAUCCACCCACCUUCCCAUUCACCCGCUCCUACAUCUCUCUAUGCAACCAACCAUCCGCUUGCCCACCAUUCAUUUUUCCGUCCCAGACAGCUUGUCUACACGUGCAUGCGUGCAUCACUAACUGACAGAGUAUUUAUUGAGCACCUACUCCGUGUCAGGUGCGCCUCUAAGCGCUGGCGAUAUUACAAUGAUGCCAACGGACAAAAAUCCCUGCCGUCACCAAGAUUACACAACAAUGUCUAUGUUCCUUCCUUCCAACAACCUCCCAUUCCAGCACGUCUCCUGGUCUCUGUGCUGGGCCGGGGCUGAGAAUGUUAGAGAUCAAUCAGACAUGGGCCUGCCCCUUGGGUCCGCAGGAUCUAGUUAAAAUCAAUCAUUAAAACGAUUUGCCGUGUGAAUUCCAAGGACUCUCUUCUUGAAAGAAAUUGCCUCGGGGAGAAGUGGACUUUGGUUGAAUCAACUCAUUUUCGGAAAUAAAGUAAAAUCAACGAA
Molecule: long non-coding RNA, 2166 nt
Organism: Prionailurus viverrinus (fishing cat)
Lineage: Eukaryota; Metazoa; Chordata; Mammalia; Carnivora; Felidae
Exons: 2
Source: RefSeq, a predicted model, not a curated record